AUUGAACGCUGGCGGCAUGCCUUACACAUGCAAGUCGAACGGCAGCAUGGAAGAGCUUGCUCUUCUGAUGGCGAGUGGCGAACGGGUGAGUAAAGCAUCGGAACGUACCGUGUAGUGGGGGAUAACGUAGCGAAAGUUACGCUAAUACCGCAUACGCACUGAGGUGGAAAGCAGGGGAUCGCAAGACCUUGCGCUAUACGAGCGGCCGAUGUCAGAUUAGCUAGUUGGUGGGGUAAAGGCCCACCAAGGCGACGAUCUGUAGCUGGUCUGAGAGGAUGAUCAGCCACACUGGGACUGAGACACGGCCCAGACUCCUACGGGAGGCAGCAGUGGGGAAUAUUGGACAAUGGGCGAAAGCCUGAUCCAGCAAUGCCGCGUGAGUGAUGAAGGCCUUAGGGUUGUAAAAGCUCUUUUUACCCGAGAUGAUAAUGACAGAUCGGGNGAAUAAGCUCCGGCU
RNAcentral lists this ribosomal RNA (457 nucleotides) under uncultured bacterium. RNAcentral's name for it is "bacterial SSU rRNA". It matches the Rfam family "Bacterial small subunit ribosomal RNA", at positions 30 to 498 of the family's 1533-position model. The record is from RNAcentral.